GACGAACGCUGGCGGCGUGCUUAACACAUGCAAGUCGAACGGAAAGGCCUGCUUUCCCUUGUGGAUUGCGGGUGCUCGAGUGGCGAACGGGUGAGUAACACGUGAGUGAUCUGCCCCCAACUUGGGUAUAAGCCUGGGAAACUGGGUCUAAUUCCCGAUAGGACUGCAGGGUGGUGCCUGUGGUGGAAAACGAUUUUCUAGUUGUUGGGGAUGAGCUCGCGGCCUAUCAGCUUGUUGGUGGGGUAAUGGCCUACCAAGGCGGCGACGGGUAGCCGGCCUGAGAGGGUGGACGGCCACAUUGGGACUGAGAUACGGCCCAGACUCCUACGGGAGGCAGCAGUGGGGAAUAUUGCACAAUGGGCGGAAGCCUGAUGCAGCGACGCAGCGUGGGGGAUGACGGCCUUCGGGUUGUAAACUCCUUUCGACCGCGAGGAAGCCACCUGGUUGGAAGGGUGGUGACGGUAGUGGUAGAAGAAGCACCGGCUAACUACGUG
Molecule: ribosomal RNA, 494 nt
Filed under: uncultured bacterium
Lineage: Bacteria
Description: partial 16S ribosomal RNA
Rfam family: Bacterial small subunit ribosomal RNA
Source: RNAcentral